This 460-nucleotide ribosomal RNA is filed under the name uncultured bacterium. RNAcentral's name for it is "partial 16S ribosomal RNA". It matches the Rfam family "Bacterial small subunit ribosomal RNA", at positions 338 to 795 of the family's 1533-position model. The record is from RNAcentral.
CCUACGGGAGGCAGCAGUGAGGAAUAUUGGUCAAUGGACGAGAGUCUGAACCAGCCAAGCAGCGUGAAGGAUGACUGCCCUAUGGGUUGUAAACUUCUUUUAUAUGGGAAUAAAAUGUUCCACGUGUGGGAUUUUGUAUGUACCAUAUGAAUAAGGAUCGGCUAACUCCGUGCCAGCAGCCGCGGUAAUACGGAGGAUCCGAGCGUUAUCCGGAUUUAUUGGGUUUAAAGGGAGCGUAGGUGGAUUGUUAAGUCAGUUGUGAAAGUUUGCGGCUCAACCGUAAAAUUGCAGUUGAAACUGGCAGUCUUGAGUACAGUAGAGGUGAGCGGAAUUCGUGGUGUAGCGGUGAAAUGCUUAGAUAUCACGAAGAACUCCGAUUGCGAAGGCAGCUCACUGGACUGUAACUGACACUGAGGCUCGAAAGUGUGGGUAGCAAACAGGAUUAGAUACCCUUGUAGUC